UUGUGUGCAGGAUGGAGAUGCACAACCAGCGUAUCGCGUAGCCUGACAGUACGCCUGCAGCCCGCUUCGCGCCCAGCUUCGGCCAAGGUGACGAUCGCAGGUGGAAGCCUCAAGGCCAACGGCCGAUGCUCCAACCGAGCGACACCUGACACGAAUCCCGCGACGACCCGGCUGCCUGAGCCUUUCGGCUGUCACGCCCGCACCAUGCCUGGUUGAUUCCUCCUCCUGUGGAGCUGCAACGGCAGUCGCUCAAGCGCCUGCAGGAGACGUAGUCGCGGCACGCCCCCGGGCCUGCUGCUGGACACGAAGACCGGAUCUACACCGGUUUCGAUACGACCCCGUGCACCCUUCUUUCGA
This is a regulatory RNA element of Pseudomonas oryzihabitans, 357 nucleotides long. It matches the Rfam family "rne-II RNA". Lineage: Bacteria; Pseudomonadati; Pseudomonadota; Gammaproteobacteria; Pseudomonadales; Pseudomonadaceae. The record is from Rfam.